Molecule: ribosomal RNA, 110 nt
Filed under: Hematodinium sp.
Lineage: Eukaryota; Dinophyceae; Syndiniales; Syndiniaceae
Description: partial small subunit ribosomal RNA
Source: RNAcentral
CUCUUUGUCUGGAGGUUACGUCCAUACAGAUGAUAACAAGUAAAAGGAAUGUUGGUAGUUAUAUGAUCAGCGAUUGCAUUAUCCACGCUCAACCUUACUCGGUUUUCGCC